UAACUUCUUAGAAACCAUGACAGCCUCUGC
RNAcentral lists this non-coding RNA (30 nucleotides) under Homo sapiens (human). The record is from RNAcentral. Lineage: Eukaryota; Metazoa; Chordata; Mammalia; Primates; Hominidae.